Long non-coding RNA from Trichomycterus rosablanca, 215 nucleotides. RefSeq lists it as uncharacterized. Lineage: Eukaryota; Metazoa; Chordata; Actinopteri; Siluriformes; Trichomycteridae. The record is from RefSeq and is a predicted model, not a curated record. The transcript has 3 exons.
GGUACCGAGCGAAGCGGCACUCCUGAUGAGCGAAGAGGCAGGAAGAGAGAAAGAGCCAGUGGGCAUCGAUCUACAAACCUGUCUGCUGAGAGCUUUCGGUGCUGAAAGCUGAUCGUAGAUCAUUAUGGUGGUCAUUAGAUUCCAACGUUCCCUAUACGGUGAGUAGGUGCUGUGAUCUGAGGACCAGGACAUUAAAAGUGCACUAGACUAGAUGG